GUGUGACCGGACGGGCAUCGAUAACUGCGGGGAUGGCUCGGACCAGGCAGCCCACCCCCCUGCCGCGUGCAGAGGCCGCCCUCCCACAUCAGCAUUUCUCCAGCCUGCGAGCAGCCCUGCAGCCCACGUCACCCCCUGCAUGGCAGCCUGUGGCGGGGCAGAGAAGAGCCAGCCCUUGGCCCCAGACACCGCGCCCCAGGACGAGCCUGCAGCAGCCCUUUUCCUUCCUCUCCAGGUGAGAGGAGCUCAUGCUCCCUGCUGGCCCUCUACCUCCUCCUGGGGCUGGGCGUGGGCUCAGCCCUCCUGCUCUGGUGCUGCUGGUCCCCUGGCUGGUUUGUCUGGAGACUCGGGACCUGCCGGUUCCUGCCUGGCUGCAACUCCAUGUGGGCCUCGUGCCAGCUCUGCCCCCACAGCUGUGCCCACAGGAACCAUGGCUGUUCCAGCAAAGUCACGCCGCAGCACAGCGCCGACCUGCCCAUCUGAUGUCAGCUACGCCAUCUGCGCCCUGGCCGGAGGAGCAGGGAUCCGACCUUUCCUGUCUGUGCUGCAGAGAUUCUCUCCGCUGGCUUGGGUCAUCGCAGGACGGGCUGCGGUUACGAGCUGGGGGGGCGGGGUGGGAAGAGGACGGGGCAGCUCCCAAUACCUCCUCUG
Molecule: long non-coding RNA, 651 nt
Filed under: Chrysemys picta bellii (western painted turtle)
Lineage: Eukaryota; Metazoa; Chordata; Testudines; Emydidae
Description: lncRNA (ENSCPBG00000008764.1)
Source: RNAcentral